UACGUAGGGUGCAAGCGUUAAUCGGAAUUACUGGGCGUAAAGCGUGCGCAGGCGGUUUUGUAAGUCUGUCGUGAAAUCCCCGGGCUCAACCUGGGAAUUGCGAUGGAGACUGCAAGGCUAGAAUCUGGCAGAGGGGGGUAGAAUUCCACGUGUAGCAGUGAAAUGCGUAGAGAUGCGGAGGAACACCGAUGGCGAAGGCAGCCCCCCUGGGGCUGACCACUGACGCUCAGGCACGAAAGCGUGGGGGAAGCCAAACAAGG
RNAcentral lists this ribosomal RNA (260 nucleotides) under uncultured bacterium. RNAcentral's name for it is "partial 16S ribosomal RNA". It matches the Rfam family "Bacterial small subunit ribosomal RNA", at positions 524 to 777 of the family's 1533-position model. The record is from RNAcentral.